ACACGUCUUACCAUAAAACAGGAAGUCCACCGCUUUUUCUUUUCGAACACACAGAUAUGCCAUAAAGAAUACUGCAGCAAGAACAGCUACUUCUACCCCCAGGAUAACCAGUGGCCUAAAGGAAAAUGAAGAGUGCAGCUUUAGACUGGGAAAUGAGCACCUGCCUAAAAGAAAGCCACUGGUGUGACUGGCACUAAUUUGAACCCCAUCAAUCCAGGGGGGCGGUAGAAAGCCUCGGAACGACAAGCCUUGAGGACGUGAGUGGUUUCCCCCCAUGGGCUAUGGGCCAAGGCUACUGGUGCUGCAGACUGAUACAGAAGCUUAAAAUUUUAACUUCUAAAUAAAAAAAUUAUUUAGUAAUAAUAAUUUAUUAAUAAAACAUUUUAUCCUAUCCACUGAAAGCAUGCUGACAAUAGCAUUCUGCUGGGACAAA
Long non-coding RNA from Tachysurus fulvidraco (yellow catfish), 433 nucleotides. RefSeq lists it as uncharacterized. NCBI's taxonomy places the organism in Eukaryota, Metazoa, Chordata, Actinopteri, Siluriformes, Bagridae. The transcript has 3 exons. The record is from RefSeq and is a predicted model, not a curated record.